UACAGAGGGGGCAAGCGUUAUUCGGAAUUAUUGGGCGUAAAGGGCGCGUAGGCGGCCUGGCAAGUGGAAGGUGAAAUCCCUCGGCUUAACCGAGGAACUGCCCUCCAAACUGCUUGGCUUGAGUCCGGGAGAGGUGAGUGGAAUUCCGAGUGUAGAGGUGAAAUUCGUAGAUAUUCGGAAGAACACCAGUGGCGAAGGCGACUUACUGGACACAUAUUGACGCUGAGGUGCGAAAGCGUGGGGAGCAAACAGG
This 253-nucleotide ribosomal RNA is filed under the name uncultured bacterium. Its description in RNAcentral is "partial 16S ribosomal RNA". It matches the Rfam family "Bacterial small subunit ribosomal RNA", at positions 524 to 776 of the family's 1533-position model. The record is from RNAcentral.